Molecule: long non-coding RNA, 847 nt
Organism: Oncorhynchus keta (chum salmon)
Lineage: Eukaryota; Metazoa; Chordata; Actinopteri; Salmoniformes; Salmonidae
Exons: 5
Source: RefSeq, a predicted model, not a curated record
GAUGAAAAGAGGACGGUGAAAGAUGAACGAUGAACGAUGACUGACAAUAAUAUAGAGGUCUUACUGUCACUAGUGUGUGGUGGUGAAGUUGUUCUCUGCUCAGUUGACAGACAGGAGAUACAGAGACAGGAGUCCAUUCUGUUCCAAGUAGGUCACCUUGGCUCUCCUCUAUGCACAGCACUCCAGGGACUUCCUGCAGGUGGAGUCAGGCUUCUACUUCAUCGCCCUGGACCACGACACGAACGAGCCAGAAGACGCUAAGUUUGGACCACUCCUCCCACCAGCCUCCACUGCUCUUUUAAUUAUGGUGAUGCCCCAACUGUAAGAACCUGGAGAUCUCUACUGAUUUUGAGGGAGGUGACAUUGCCACAAACAGUGCCUGGGACACCGUCUGGAAAACAGCCAGAGGGUGGUCUGCUGCAACAGUGUUUCAGCUCGGCUGCACCUGGGAACUAAAGAUUGUCUGGGUCUGCUGAGAGGGUCAUUGGCUGCCACCUGCCCUCCAUUGAGGUCCUGCACGACUCCAGGGCAAGGAAGCAUGCAUGAAAGAUCAUCACCGACCACUUCCACCCUUUCUUCCACAGACUCCCAUCUGGCAAAUGGUUCAAGUCAAUCACGACCAAAACUUCCCGCCACCUGAACCGUUUCUUCCCCCGUGCCAUGGCUCUCACCAACCGGCCACCUGGUCCACAAUGAUCCUCUCAUCCAUGGACUCUGCGCUUUCAUCCAGACUCUGCACCGUGCACUAUCAUCUUACAUUCAUAAUUUAUAAUGUAGCUUAAUGGUGCUGCCACAAUAAACAGACAAAAAAAAUAUAUAUGCAGAAUUUCCAGAUACACAUUCAGUA